UACGUAGGGGGCGAGCGUUGUCCGGAGUUACUGGGCGUAAAGGGCAUGCAGGCGGUCGGACGCGUUUCGGGUGACAGCGGGUGGCUUAACUACCCGAGUGGUCGAAAGACGGUUUGACUUGAGGACGCGAGAGGGACACGGAAUUCCGGGUGGAGUGGCGAAAUGCGUAGAGAUCCGGAGGAACACCGAAGGCGAAGGCAGUGUCCUGGCGCGUAACUGACGCUGAGGUGCGAAAGCCAGGGGAGCGAACGGG
RNAcentral lists this ribosomal RNA (253 nucleotides) under uncultured bacterium. RNAcentral's name for it is "partial 16S ribosomal RNA". It matches the Rfam family "Bacterial small subunit ribosomal RNA", at positions 524 to 776 of the family's 1533-position model. The record is from RNAcentral.